UUUUUUCCUAGACUCUGCCCAGAGUCAGUCCUGGUCACUCCCAGGACUGGGAUGCUACGCCAAUUGUAGCAUCAAUUAAAUCCCUCUGUUUGCUUUUUUUUUCCCCACACGUGACCUCUCAUGAAGCUCCUUUUCUGUCAUCCUGCACGCGUAUGAGUAUUCUUUUAAGCUGCAAUUAGGGCUAGUUGUUGCUUUUUAUUUCUUUUUUCUCUUUCUUGGCCAUGCCUACAGCAUAUGGAGAUUCCCAGGCCAGAGAGCAGACCCAUGCCACAGCAGUGGCUUGAGCCACAGCAAUGACAACACCAGAUCCUUAAGCCACUGAGCCAAAAGGGAACUCCAGUGUUGCUUUUUAAUUAAAAAAAAUUUUUCAUUAGUUUGGGCCCAUUAUCCCAGCACUUCCACACCAAUGUGAAAUGACACUGCCACUCAUCAUAAUGAAGCAUUCUUUUGAGAGCUUUACAUCAUCUGCAAUUUUUUUUAACCAGGGCCUCUACUUUUUUUUCAAGUUCCGAAUAAAAAUAGGUUUUUGCUAUUGCCCUUCCUUUUGUGUGGCCUAAAGCCAAGAAAAUCAACAUUCUCUAGCAAGAGUCACUCAGUGGGCUAUCCCCAACUAACUGUACAAUCUUAUUUUCAAAAAUUCGAUAUGGGAUUUUUUGAGUGCUUUGUUGAAAUGAAGAUGCACCCACUAUAGACUGGGAAUCCGGCUACCAUCAUGAAUGUUCUUAGUGAACCCUUAUUGGCUUCUGGUGACCUCUUUAUUAUUUUCCAAUUACUGUCAUCUAGUUAAGAGUCUAUUCUAAACUACUCAGGGAUUAAGAGAAAUGCGAAGACCACUUAGGAAAAUGGGAACAGCAUUUCCCAUUUUUGGCAACAUUCCUAUCACAGCUUCUCAAAAUUGGCUAAUAGUAGCCCCAAGGUCAGCUCUCUUACAUUUGGGAUGUAAUUGCCACCUACCCAGGGUUUCCAUGUCCUUUUAACUCAUUUAUCUUUAAUUGCAAAUUUUACUGACAUAACUGUAGAGUCACUUUCAGUUGAAAGAAAUAUACAGAGCAAUCCCGGUACACUUUGCCUGGGGGUUUUUCCAAAACUCUAGUAUAAUAUCACAAUCAGGAUGCUGACAUGGAGACAAGCCCCCAACCUUCCAGACUUUCUUAGUUUUACUUGUGCUCAUAUAUGCACGUGUGUGUUAACUUCAAUAUCACCCACUUAGAAUCAUGUAUUCAGUCAAGGUACAGAAUGAACAGUUCGAACACCUACUGCUGCCUAUUCAUUAAUCUUUCAGACAUGCUUGCUCUGCGCUUUUUGAUUUUUAAAUCAAUGGCCAUAAAGGAAAAAGACAAAUGGAAUUUUUCCCUCAUUCAUUUUUGGAAUGAACCAUGAUAAAUGGGUGAAGAGGUGUUUUUUUUUUCCUACUUUGGAAUGGAAGGGGAAGAAAAGUUCCAAUUAAAAGUAGUUAUGGGGGGACAGCUGCCAUUGGUGACCCAGCAUCUACGGAUAUUUUAACAUAUUAAGAAUCAUUUCCCCCACUAAUCUAUUUGAGAGACAGGACCACAUCCUACACCCCUUCUGUGACCUUGACUCUCCAACACCUACACAUCUCAGAUGACUCGUCUAAGCCAAGGAUCAGCCCUUUUUCUGUAAAGGGCAGAGAGUAAAUAAUUUAGCCUUUACCAGCAGGAUCUCGGUUGCACUGCCUUACUGUGGAAGGGGUAACUGGCAUUAUGUAAAGGGCUGGUCACAGCCUAUGCCAGCCUAUUCAUUUAUAAAAAUAGGUGGGAAGCAGCAGCUUGCCAACCCCCUGAUCUGAGCCAGUCAUGAUAAUUCCAUUUCCUUGGCCAGUGACUGAUUGACAAACGGACCUGGGACCCAGUCCCGGUGCACGGGAUGGGAGGGAAGUCUGCUGAGGGGCUUCUCGGAAAGCGUAUUUCACACCUGAGACACUCAAAGAAGAGACGAGCCUUCUUUUGUCUUUGGAUGUUAGCAGAUCUGGAUGUGGUACCUGGAAUCCCUGCAGCCAUCUUGCUCCUUACCUAAAGAUGAAGCCAUCAAAACAGGAAGGCCGAGGGGUUCCCAUCGUGGCUCAGCAGUUAAUGAACCCAACUGGCAUCCGUGAGGACACAGGUUCGAUCCCUGGCCUCGCUCAUGGGUUAAGGAUCCGGCGUUGCUGUGGCUGUGGUGUAGGCCGGUGGCUACAGCUCUGAUGAGACCCCUAGCCUGGGACCCUCCGUAUGCCAUGGGUGUGGCUCUAAAAAGACAAAAGCCAAAAAAAAGGAAAAAAACAAAAAAGAUGACCCACUCCCUGCCGUUUUCCUCCUCUGCCUUUAAGGCUCCCUCGCCCGCCUAGCCCGCGGAAGGCAAGCCACACGCACACGCGUGCACACUCCUCAGUCUUACCAUCGGGCCUGGGGCCAACCGGUCACCCCACACGAACACAAUUAAAAGUUAAACAUCAAUUAAAAUGUGCAAAAUCCAUUUAGCGCUCUGAAAAAGCACUAAAUACCCGCACACAUUUGGGGCACAAAUUACUCUAAAUUGUUUCCCAUUCGUCUUUAGUGAUCCAACACACUGGGCCUCAUUUUAGACUCUGUUAAUUGCUCACUCGGCUUCCAGAGAAUAAGCAAUGAAAAACGAGCCCAGGAUAAAAGAUAAAAACGGGGAAAGAAACGCCACACUGGGGCGAGUUCUGACAGGCAGGUAGUCUAUCAGAGCCGGCGAAGCAGAGAACUUCUGGGGGAGGGCGAGCCCCGUCCGGGGCCCAGGGGACCGGCAGGUGAGUUCUCCCCUGAGACUUCUGCUGAUGUCUUCAUCUGCAUGUCUGACACAGAUCUGGGGGUCUAACAGGCAUUUCAAGUUUUAUCCUGUCCAAAACAGAAUGUGCAAUUCCGCCCAAAUCCAUUUCUUGUCCUAUCCUCCCCAUCUCAAUAAAUGGUACCCGACUGCAGAAGCCCAAAUUCAGCAUCGCCCUUGAUUUCUUUUCUUCUGCAUCCCCCCAACCAUGCCAUCGGCAGGGUUCAUUUACUCUGCAAUCUGCUCGGUGCUCUCCCGUCCACGGCCACCACCCUCGUCUGGGCCUCUGCCCUGACUCUUGUGAGGUGACUACCCCCACUUCCUAACUGGUCUCCCUGCUCCUCUUUCAGCCUCUCCACGAUCCACUCUUUUAAAAACUAAAUACGACUCCAUCUCCCCCCUCGCCCCGCCCCACCCUUAAAACCCUCCGACAGCUUCCCAGCGCCUUUUAGAGUUAGAAGCCUGUGUUCAUUUCCUUCUGCAGCCAUAACAAAUGCCCACAAUUCGGUGGCUUCGCACGAUAUGAAGGCACUCUCAUCCAGAGAUCAGAAGGGUAACAUCAAGGUGUCAGCAGCGUUCUUUCUGGAGGCUUCAGAGGAGCAUCUGUGUCCUUGCCCGUUUUAGCUUCUAGAGCUUCCUGCACGCCUCACCUUCUCUGAUCCCCCUGCCUCCCUCUUACAGGGACCUUUGCAAUUACACCGGGCCCUUCUAGGUAACCCGGGACUGUCAUCCCACCCUGAGAUCUCUAACUUCAUCAGGCCCGCAAAGUCUCUUUUACCAGGUAAGGUAAUGUAUUUGCAGGUUCUGGGACUAGGAUAUGGCCAGUUUAGAAGGGCCCUGAUUCAGUCCAUCACAAAAUCAAAAUCAAAACACAACACACGAGGGGUUCCUGUCAUGGCUCAGUGGUUAAUGAAAUCUGACUAGUAUCUAUGAGGAUGCAAGUUCGAUCCCUGGCCUUGCCCAGUGGGUUAAGGAUCUGGCAUUGCCGUGAGCUGUGGUGUAGGCUGUAGAUGAGGCUCAGAUCCUGCAUUGCUGUGGCUGUGGGAUAGGCCGGCAGCUACAGCUCCCAUACGACCCCUAGCGUGGGAACCUCCAUGUGCUGCAGGUGCAGCCCUAAAAAGCAAUAAAAAAAAAAAAACAAAAAACAAACAAAAAAAAAACAAAAACCCAAUGCAUAAACAGGACACCUCUUUACCACGGUUCACCAGCCCAACGCCACCCGGCUUUGCCCACCUCGCUCACCCUCGUCUCCUACCCCCCUCACUCUCACUCACCUUCUCCUUGCUCUCGGGCCUUCGGGCUGGUCUUCACGGGGCCAGGCCUGCUCCCACCCCAGAGUCCUCACCCCUGCCGUCCCCUGCCCCUGUGGCAUUCCUCCCUCGCCAGUUCCCACAGCGGCUCCGUUCCCGAGAGCUCGGCUGUCACUGCCUCACGGAUCGCCUCCCAGAUCACCUCCUGACUCACUCUCUUCCCGUCGGGGAGCGAAUGCCAACGGGAGCGUCUCUGUCCGCUUUGCUCGCUCUGCCCCCUAGAACAGGGACUGUCACACCUACGACGAAUCCUCGCUGCAGGGGUGAUCGCCAGGACUUGGAAACAUGGGUGAUGUGCUCAUAACACGCCCUCAUAACCCACUCCGGUUUCUAAUCCACAGGUUUAUACCAAUGCUUUUUAAACUCAUCAACAUUUUCAUCCUAGAUCAGCUCUCAGGAUAAAACCAGACAAAAUGAAAUGUAAUAAAAACAACUGUAAAGCCGACAAAAUAUUGGGGGUGGCGUGGGGCGGAGGUGGGGUGAGGGGACAGGGCUGAAAAAGAAGAGGAGCCAUGGGACAUGCCAAGGAGACUCGGAGGGAGCCACUGUGGGUGAUUCCUAACUCAACAGGGCUUGUCAGUGGGAUGCGGCUUCCAAAAACAUGACCUUCCGGGCAAGGGAGGUUUCCAAGCCCAAAGAGGGAAAGGACUGCGUGGCCAUGUCUUCACAACAAAGACAGCUAGCAGUUACCAGAGUGAACCAGGAACAAGGCGCUACAGAGAAAGCGUUACAUAAAACAUCACAACAUUUCAGCCUCACAACACUCUUAUGGAGGGGGCGCUAUGAAUAGUUCUCACUUCCCAGACGAGAGAAACGUAGUUCAAAGAAGUCAGGUAACUUGCCCACAGUUCUAACGUCAGGAUCCACUCCAAAGCCUGAUUUUAAACAUAACGCUCCACCGCACCAGCUUUUCUUGAUGACGCUGGACACAAGGAAGGGUUGAUAAGAAAGCACUACCAAGAAGUUCCCCUUGUGGCUCAGCAGAAACAAACCCGACUGGGCUCCAUGAGCACAUGGGUUUGCUCCGUGGGUUAAGGAUUUGGCAUUGCCAUGAGCUGUGCUACAGGCUGGCAGGUGCAGCUCCAAUGUGACCCCAAACCUGGGAACUUCCCUAUGCCGUGGGUGCAGCCCUACAAAAAAGACCAAAGAAAAAAAAAAAAAAAAAA
RNAcentral lists this long non-coding RNA (5263 nucleotides) under Sus scrofa (pig). Its description in RNAcentral is "lncRNA (ENSSSCG00005032364.1)". The record is from RNAcentral. Lineage: Eukaryota; Metazoa; Chordata; Mammalia; Artiodactyla; Suidae.